GACGAACGCUGGCGGCGUGCCUAAUACAUGCAAGUAGAACGCACAGUUUAUACCGUAGCUUGCUACACCAUAAACUGUGAGUUGCGAACGGGUGAGUAACGCGUAGGUAACCUGCCUGGUAGCGGGGGAUAACUAUUGGAAACGAUAGCUAAUACCGCAUAAUAUUAAUUAUUGCAUGAUAAUUGAUUGAAAGAUGCAAUUGCAUCACUACCAGAUGGACCUGCGUUGUAUUAGCUAGUAGGUGAGGUAACGGCUCACCUAGGCGACGAUACAUAGCCGACCUGAGAGGGUGAUCGGCCACACUGGGACUGAGACACGGCCCAGACUCCUACGGGAGGCAGCAGUAGGGAAUCUUCGGCAAUGGACGAAAGGCUGACCGAGCAACGCCGCGUGAGUGAAGAAGGGUUUCGGAUCGUAAAGCUCUGUUGUAAGAGAAGAACGGGUGUGAGAGUGGAAAGUUCACACUGUGACGGUAUCUUACCAGAAAGGGACGGCUAACUACGUG
This 505-nucleotide ribosomal RNA is filed under the name uncultured bacterium. RNAcentral's name for it is "partial 16S ribosomal RNA". It matches the Rfam family "Bacterial small subunit ribosomal RNA", at positions 28 to 507 of the family's 1533-position model. The record is from RNAcentral.